GACGAACGCUGGCGGCGUGCUUAACACAUGCCAGUCGAACGGAAAGGCCCUGCUUUUGUGGGGUGCUCGAGUGGCGAACGGGUGAGUAACACGUGAGUAACCUGCCCUUGACUUUGGGAUAACUUCAGGAAACUGGGGCUAAUACCGGAUAGGAGCUCCUGCUGCAUGGUGGGGGUUGGAAAGUUUCGGCGGUUGGGGAUGGACUCGCGGCUUAUCAGCUUGUUGGUGGGGUAGUGGCUUACCAAGGCUUUGACGGGUAGCCGGCCUGGGAGGGUGACCGGCCACGUUGGGACGGGGAUACGGCCCAGACUCCUACGGGACGCAGCGGUGGGGAAUAUUGCACAAUGGGCGGAAGCCUGAUGCAGCAACGCCGCGUGCGGGAUGACGGCCUUCGGGUUGUAAACCGCUUUCGCCUGUGACGAGGCGUGAGUGACGGUAAUGGGUAAAGAAGCACCGGCUAACUACGUG
Molecule: ribosomal RNA, 468 nt
Filed under: uncultured bacterium
Lineage: Bacteria
Description: partial 16S ribosomal RNA
Rfam family: Bacterial small subunit ribosomal RNA
Source: RNAcentral